This 72-nucleotide transfer RNA is filed under the name Apaloderma vittatum (bar-tailed trogon). It matches the Rfam family "tRNA". From Rfam's summary of the family: Transfer RNA (tRNA) molecules are approximately 80 nucleotides in length. The record is from Rfam by way of RNAcentral. Lineage: Eukaryota; Metazoa; Chordata; Aves; Trogoniformes; Trogonidae.
GGCCGGUUAGCUCAGUUAGUUGAGCAUGGCGCUAACAACGCCAAGGUCACGGGUUCGAUUUCUGUUCGGUCC